This 1120-nucleotide unclassified non-coding RNA is filed under the name Exaiptasia diaphana. RNAcentral's name for it is "c-reactive protein, transcript variant X1". Lineage: Eukaryota; Metazoa; Cnidaria; Anthozoa; Actiniaria; Aiptasiidae. The record is from RNAcentral.
UGCCAUAGUAUCAACUUCAACGAAAUGAAAACAGCCUGNGAAUUGAAUUCAGCCAAUCAUUUGAGCAAACCUGAUCACAUGACCUCCUCCGUUGGNACNGUGUAUAUGAACUACUUCCUACGACCUGUGANUCAAUGCAGCAAGUCUUAUUGCAGAAAAGACGACCAGGAAUGUGCGAUGGACAAGGACGGCACGGACUACAAGUGUGUUGCAAAGCAAUGUCAAGAUAUUUUAGUGUUUCCUGGGAAGAGCANGACAGACAAGGCUUUCCUUGAACAUGCAUUUGAGUCACUACCCGCACUCACGAUAGAGUUGUGGAUUCAANUAGAACCNAAAGGCUUGGAUUCGUUAACGGAGCCGACAGCUUUNAGCUAUGCAACGACUUCCAAUGCUAAUAAAAUCGUCAUAUUCACAACAAAAGGCACAGGUUAUGGGUUUAUAUUACACGAUACGAGUAUUGGUAGAAUUCCAGAUGCAACUGUAGCGAACGGUCAAUGGCACCACAUUAGUUUGACAUGGGAGUCCACAGGUGGACAGUAUAACAUAUUUAUCGAUGGAGUCAGCAGGAAAAAGGGCGUGACAGGGGUUGGUCGUCCUAUUGGUAAAGGNAUGCUAAUACUUGGUAAUGAUCAAGACAGUUACAAUGGCGGCUUUUCGCUACCCGAAAGUUAUCAGGGCAACAUUACAAAUGUCAAUGUCUGGAAUAGUACCUUUACACCACAACAAGUGUCAGUCCUGGCCAAGUCAUGUUCCAAGCGUGAAGGCAAUGUNGUCGGUUGGUCGCAGCUGAAAAAUAAUAAAGUAGGAAACAUUGGAUCGCUUUGCACAAUAGCUUGUGNUUGAGGAUGACAAAACCGAAAGUGAAUACGAUGUAAACCCUUAAAUGAAAAGAAGGAUGGGCCAGUGAAGAAAGGAGGAGGGAUAGGGAAGAAUAUAAAAACAAAAACNAAAAGAAACUUCAUCAUCUUUCUAAUGAGAAAAAGAACUAAGAAAGAACCGCNGAACAAUUAAGUUGGUCAGUGUUUUCUAAAUUGGCAGUAAAUAAUGAGGGCAAGGCAAGAACACAAUGAGUCAAACACGGAGCAAAUUAAAUAUGGAAUGCCACCAGGGAUCUACAACG